Molecule: ribosomal RNA, 320 nt
Filed under: uncultured eukaryote
Lineage: Eukaryota
Description: partial 18S ribosomal RNA
Rfam family: Eukaryotic small subunit ribosomal RNA
Source: RNAcentral
CCCCUAGAUGUUCUGGGCCGCACGCGCGCUACACUGAACAGUUCAACAAGUCUUAACCUUGGCCGAUAGGUCUGGGUAAUCUUUGAACGCUGUUCGUGAUUGGGAUAGACCUUUGCAAUUAUGGGUCUUCAACGAGGAAUUCCUAGUAAACGCAAGUCAUCAGCUUGCAUUGAUUACGUCCCUGCCCUUUGUACACACCGCCCGUCGCACCUACCGAUUGAAUGGUCCGGUGAAAUCUCGGGACGGCGGCUUGGUCGCUUGCGUCCGACUGCUGAAACUUUAUUAAACCAUAUCAUUUAGAGGAAGGUGAAGUCGUAACA